UACGUAGGGAGCAAGCGUUAUCCGGAAUUAUUGGGUGUAAAGGGUGCGUAGACGGGAUAACAAGUUAGUUGUGAAACCCCUCGGCUCAACUGAGGAACUGCAACCAAAACUAUUAUUCUUGAGUGCAGGAGAGGAAAGUGGAAUUCCUAGUGUAGCGGUGAAAUGCGUAGAUAUUAGGAAGAACACCGGUGGCGAGGGCGACUUUCUGGACUGUAACUGACGUUGAGGCACGAAAGUGUGGGGAGCAAACAGG
Molecule: ribosomal RNA, 253 nt
Filed under: uncultured bacterium
Lineage: Bacteria
Description: partial 16S ribosomal RNA
Rfam family: Bacterial small subunit ribosomal RNA
Source: RNAcentral